UCGGAUCCAGAGCCCUUGCA
Molecule: unclassified non-coding RNA, 20 nt
Filed under: Mus musculus (house mouse)
Lineage: Eukaryota; Metazoa; Chordata; Mammalia; Rodentia; Muridae
Description: oocyte_clustered_small_RNA9921
Source: RNAcentral